Molecule: long non-coding RNA, 1033 nt
Filed under: Salmo trutta (river trout)
Lineage: Eukaryota; Metazoa; Chordata; Actinopteri; Salmoniformes; Salmonidae
Description: lncRNA (ENSSTUG00000018375.1)
Source: RNAcentral
CUUGUUUGUCAGGAGAAGAUCAAAUUUAGUUUAUAUGCAAACUUGGGCUGUCUAGACAUUCUAGAUCUUUUCAAUCCAACAUGAUUAACUGGAAUUAAUCAAAUAACAUAAUAGUGAUGGCAAAGUCUAUGAGUUCAUAUUUAAUUGAGGGCAGGACAGCAUCCAUCCAUGAUAAGCCUGUCGUGCACUGAAGCUUAUGAACACCUUAACCUCUGUCCUGCACGGAAGGAAAGUCUCUGAACACCUCAACUCAUGCCUCAUACCCUCAUCCAAUCACUGCUGUGAUCCCUUCCCAACACUGUAAGUAGCCCUCUCAUUCCCAUUCCCCAUAAUAUUGUACUAUGCAUUUUUUUGAAAGAUUCUUUGUUGUCUCCAUACCGUAGAUCUCCUAUCCUCCUAAAUGUUUCAAGUCACCAGCGUCCACUGAAGGAGAAUAAGUGGAGCUACAGAGGGCUUCACCACAACAGGCUGUACAAUAUCGUUCCCACACGUCACCUAAAACAUUAACGGUUGGGUUUUGGCCAAGGUUUGAAGAAUGAAGGUCGUCAGAAGAAUUCAAUCAAUGCAGAUGGGCUUCUUUCAGCAAAGAUUGGCCAUAUUUCGGCAACCUGUGCAUAGAAGAGCCAGGAAAAAGACAGUGUCUCACUCAGAUUGGCUCAUAGUGAGAUUGCUUGAAAAGAGAUGGAACUGAUUGUCAAUGGAACGCAUUGACUAUGCUGAAUAAAUUGUAUUCAAUCAAUCGGGUUCUGCAAUGCAAUACAAUGGGUAUUGAUGCGUCUUUGAAUUACGGUAUUGAAUCAAAAUGAAUAUUGAGUGCAUGGCAAAAUGAAAUCAAUCAUCAUGUCAUAAUAACUCUUUUGAUUUAAUCAAAUCAUUAGUGACAAAAUAAAUUAGGAGUAGUCCGAUAAGUGUGAUGUUGUUGGUUGUUACUUUCAUACUGAAUCGCACAACAUGCUAUCCAGGACCUCUACAGUGUAUCAGGCGGUGUCAGAGGAAGGUCAUCGGCUCUCGGACCGACUCCGAGACAGCUUCU